UAUAUUUGACAAUGGGGGCAACCCUGAUCCAGCCAUGCCGCGUGUGUGAAGAAGGUCUUCGGAUUUUUAAGCACUUUAAGGUAGGAGGAAGGGCUUUAGGUUAAUGCCCUGAAUUUUUGACGUUACCUACCUAAUAACCCCCUGCUUACUCUGUGCCAGGAGCCGCGGUAAUACAGAGGGUGCAAGCGUUAAUCGGAAUUACUGGGCGUAAAGCGCGCGUAGGUGGUUCAGUAAGAUGGGUGUGAAAUCCCCGGGCUUAACCUGGGAACUGCUUUCAUAACUGCUGAGCUAGAGUACGGUAGAGGGUAGUGGAAUUUCCUGUGUAGCGGUGAAAUGCGUAGAUAUAGGAAGGAACACCAGUGGCGAAGGCGACUACCUGGACUGAUACUGAAACUGAGGUGCGAAAGCGUGGGGAGCAAAC
This 421-nucleotide ribosomal RNA is filed under the name uncultured bacterium. RNAcentral describes it as "partial 16S ribosomal RNA". It matches the Rfam family "Bacterial small subunit ribosomal RNA", at positions 359 to 773 of the family's 1533-position model. The record is from RNAcentral.